Molecule: non-coding RNA, 7472 nt
Organism: Meleagris gallopavo (turkey)
Lineage: Eukaryota; Metazoa; Chordata; Aves; Galliformes; Phasianidae
Source: RefSeq, a predicted model, not a curated record
GCAUUUUUUUAAUCAUUUAAGCGGUACAUAAGGUUGGUACAAGUUCAACUACAUUAGCGGGCGUACAUUUUUCCAACUAAUGAUACAUUGAGAGUAGACAGGUCCACAAAUCCAGUUUUUCACAGAUCCUUGUUAGUAUUAAUAGAAGUGCAACUGUGAUCCGUAAAAAUGCCUCUAAGCACUGGAAAGUCUAGCAACAACACAGACAAUGUGCAGUAGAACUUACACAUUUAUUUUAAAAGAAGGAAAGUGACAAAGCAAACUAGCAGGAAUUAAGCUAGAAACAGCCUGGAUGGAUUGGUACUAUGAUUGAAAGUAGCAGGCAUUAAACUACCUAUUUCACGCAAGCAAGUUAAGCAGGAUAGAGGCUUUAAUUUAACCCCCACUUCUGCAGACAUCAGCACAUGCAUGCUUAUUAUUACCGCCAUCUGUUUUAUUCACAGUCGUUUCCAUCAGCUGUGAUAUUUUGCUUUUUUUAGUGUUUCAGGCCUGCUUUGAAGCUAUUGUGUUGUUAACUUUGGCUGAAUCUGUGUGUAGCAAUGUCAGCAUACUGAAAUUGUAACUGUUAGAUUAAUGAAUAACCUGAAGAAAUUAUCUGUGGAAUUUAGUCAUCAGGAGCUGUUUGAGUUCUAUAACAAGCUGGAAACCAUACAAGCACAGCUGGAUUCCCUUACAUGAUGUUUUUGAAGACUUAUUUCUCCACCACACUCCUGCCACCUCAUUAUUUUGAAUUGAAGAUAGAUUGCCAAGCUGUGUUUACUGAAGGAUUCAGUGGGUUGCUUCCUGUAAAAUUAUAUGGCUUAUCUCCUCUUAAAGCAGUAACAUUAGCCAAGAUAAAUCAUUGUUAAGAGCCUGAAGAUUGUAAUGGACAUUCUCUUGUUUUCUGAGCAAUUAUAAAAAGUGGCUUUAUUUACAGAAAAAAAAGAAGAGAAUGCUACCCGAUCUCAGAUUUUUGCUGUUGUUUGGUAUUUGGUUAGUUGUUCUUUUUCUCUCUUGGAUGUGACACUUGAUAAUGAAUAAAACCUAUUUUUUACACAUAGAACAAUAUAAAACUUUGGUAGUAACGAUAGUAAGAAAGUAUAGAAAGAAAUUACACAGCUGAUGAAAUCUCUGUCCUUUUGAAUUGUUAUUCUCACGAUAAGUAAUGCUUACUGCAAAUUUGUCAAAUUUUAAAUUUAGAAUGGAUUGUGCUUGUCUUGCUUUAAUUUUAUUAUCUGUUUUUUUUAAUUUUAAAUGAAAAUUGUUAAAUAAUUGAUAGUGUCACUGAUUUCAGAGUUUGCUUUUGACACUGAGAGUAAAUAUAGCUUCUUAGCACUGCAUGUAUGACAGUGAAUAAGUAAGUGAAGUGUAAGUGGGGAGAGAAAGCUUGGAAUAUAUAAUGAAGAACACUGAAAUAGUCUUACAACUGUAUUUCUGAGCAAUUUGUUCAUCCUUCCUAAUGUUGUCCACCGCUGAUUUUACAGGUAACAGGAAGAAAUAAAGUAAGUUGACUUAAAGGCCAAGUUAGUCUUAUUUUUACACAUUAGUUUCAGACGAAUGGAAGUUCACAAACAGGAUGAGAAGGUAAAAGUCAUCUUAGUUCCUGUUUGUUGCCAGCCAUUGACAGGCAGCUCCACUGCCUCACCUUGGUAAUGGGCGCAGUGUGACUCUUCAGGCUCACAAAAGGUGAAAGGAAGAGAAAAUCUUCAGUAUUAGCAUGUCUUUCUUUCUCCUUGAGGGAUUCUCCGUUGCUCUUCCAGGGCUGUGUGGAGCAUUUUGUGUUGCUUUGUUAGAGAUUGUGCUACCUCUUUAAAAUACAGGAGGACUGCUUGCCUAAGCUGAGAUAUUAGAAAAGGCUUAGAAGGUAAAGAGAGUAACAGCCUGUGUGUGAGUGAAAGGCACCAAAGAGAAAAAAGAGGUUUAACGUGGUUCUUAAUGGAAAUACCCUAUGAAACUGUACCAUUCUUGUCAGGUAAUGGUCUUACUCUAUUGGAAAGAAGAAAUGAGUCGUCAUUGCACAGUGACCUGUACAUUUUAUAAACGUGGGUGCCAAAUUGCCUAACCGUCUAGAGAGAUAACACUCCCACUCACAGACAGCUCAUCCUCGGUCUUGUCAGCAUAACUUGCUCUGCUCAUCUCAUGUGGCACCAGCUGCUACGUAUGUGCAGGUGAGAAUGUCCCCCCUACACCUUCCUCAGGACUCACCACCCUGCUGGCACUAACUCACAAUUAGCACAGGUUGGAAUGUCCCCCUCUUGAUGCUGAAGUCUUGGUUUCUCUGUUGGUCCUGUGGGGCAGUCUGUUGUGUGCUGGGAUGUUGCUUGUGAGUGCUUUACCUGUGUUCCCUGUGAACCAGGACUUAAAUUCUGGAAGUGGGUGGCAUCCCUUCCUGUUGCAGGUGUUUGGAUCUUCAUGGCCUUUAAUGUCCCUUCCAACCAAAGCCAUUCUAUGGUUCUGUUAUCCUAUGAAGUAAUGACUGAAGAAGCUUAAGGAUGUCUCUGUGUGGAUGCAGGACAUUGUCUGUGUGAGGUUAUGUAGUCACCUAUGAAUCCUAGAGAAGGAGGUGAAGGCAGGAUCUGAAAGGAGUGUGAGAAUCAUUGGACAAACCAGCAGGCACAUCUGUGUGAAGACAAUAGAAAGAAGCCAUAGACAGAGCAGGAAGAAAAUGAGUAUUGGGCACGAGAAGGAGGAAGGUUUGACAAAGUAAUGGAUAUGCCCAUGGGUGAAACUUGGGAGUUAGAAAGCUACAAGGAAGGCAGGAAGAACACUGGGAAAGACAGAAAAAAAAAAAUAUUGAUAGAAAAUAAUAGAGAAAAACAAAACAAAGAGCAGUUAGAGAGAAGAACUUCAGCUAGUAGGGGAAGGUAAAAGUGGAGAAACAAAGCAAACUGGAGUUAACUCUGAAGUCUGUGGCCAAAUGUGUAACUGCACCUAUUAUUUUGGACUAAUCCAUAAAUGUUAGACUCCUCAAACUUAGCCAAAGUUAUUAAAAUAUUAAAUUAAAAGCCUAGGAUAGAAGAAAAGAGAAUUUUUAAUCCAGAGUUAGUAGAAGAUAUUUUUAAAGAAACAUCAAAGGGAAAAAUAGAAAAAAACAAAGCGUAGGAUUGUAAUAUUUGUAAAAUGAAUGUAGUUUUCAUCCAUUCUUGCAGGUGGAUGAAGAGAUUUAUGAUUUCUUAAGCAGUGGUUAGCUAUGCUUUUUUACAGAAUUUUUUUACCAUCAGAAGCCAUAAUAAUAGCCCUGGUAAACAUAAUGGUAAGAAGUAUGCUCGUUAUUGAUCUUUUGUGAAGGAGCACUCAAAAAUAAAUGCUUAGCUUGGGAAGACUCUUCUGUACAUAAUGUGAAGCUUUAAGGUUGUACACUAGUAGGUAGUGGUGGUACAACUGGUAUCAUCUUCAGGACUAGCACUGUCACUCCUGAAUUAAAGAGAGAAGAUUGCCAACUGUGAAGAAGCCAGACGGGUUGUGUUAGUUGGAUCUGUCUUGCAGUAGGGAGUAAAUCCAAAGCUGUACUUCAUAGGAGAUGGGAAGCAAAAGAAGAGCUUUAGCCUAAACAGAACUGAAUAUACGAGGUUGGGGUUGUACCACCUGCCUCUGUGUUCAUGCAGGACAUUCUCAAACUUUUGUUUGUUCUAUUCUCCAUACUGAGAAAACAGCUUUGAAGAGUGUUUUGAGGAGGUGGCUUUGAGUUUUUGCUGAGGAAGAGAAUAAGUUACAUCUCAGACCUUGUUGAAUUCAGUGUCGUCGCAAAGCACUGGUCUGUAGUGUCUCUUGGAGAAUUUACAUUAUCAAGGUAAUGCUGAGAAGGGAAAGUUGUGCAGAUUUAUUGAGCUCUGAAUUGGAAAUCUGAAUAGUUAAAAAUUACUAAAUCUGCUUUGGUAUAUUCAGGUGCAUUUUAAAAACAUUUGGCCCAUCUUUGCUCAGACAUUACAACAUUUCCCUGACUGUACUUGUCUCAAAGCUGUAAUAUCAAAAUGUGCUUUAACUGAACCAUUGGCAGAAGAAAGAAAUAUUUGUUUUUUUGGUUUGGGUAUAAAUAAUCAUCAGUAUUGCUUAGACAUUAAGGCUGGGAAUUCCAGGUCAUAAAUGCAAAACAGUGUGAGAUCUGCAUAGAAAAUAUCACCAUACUGGGACAGAGCAACCAUUUGUACACUGCUUAGCAGAAACAAUACUAAUAAUGUACUAAGGGUUAUAGAGUACAAAUUUGUUAUAUUAUCUUUGCCCAGUUCUGCUUCAGGCAUAAAUUUCUUUUUUCUCAACAAAAUAGGAAUUGUCUGGAAACUUCUGCAUUGUGAUGGUUCAAAUAAGUUCUAUAGGAAGACAGAAGAAUAUAACUUUACUAUCUCAAAUUUUGACUAAGCUCCAAACCUGCUUUGGUUCAGUAGAGCAGGCUUUUAAAUUCCACUUUAAUUCCUGGGUUUAUUAACACAUCAGCUUCGAGUUCUGGCUUGCAGCCUCAUUUCCCUUGCCUUACAGCAUGAGAUUUUUAAAGGCUCUGAAGUCAUGUUCUUUCAAAGCAUAAGUAAUUUACUAAACCAUUACAUCUUAAGUUGGUCAAGGGAGAAGAAAUGUCUGUUGUGAUCAAAAAGUAGACUCUGUUACUCUGUCCUGGAGCACUUGUUCCAUUUCACAUUCACUAAUUUCCAACUGCAGCCGUGACAUUUCAUAGUUUGUCUGUAUUGACAUAUCAUAAUUUUUCAAUUAUGAAUUCACUUGUAUUUUAUUGAAGAAAUGACAGAUGCCUUUUGCCCACUGAAUAAAUAUCACAUCACUUGGUAACCGUACUGCAGCCCUUGUUUGACUAACAAAAAUGAACAGUGUUUGAAGGCAUUGUGAGAAAGUUCCUUUUCUAUGGAUCAGUCACAUUGAUCUUCUGAGUAACAAUGACUUCAUUUAGGUGGAUGAACUAAGGUGCUUCUGUCUGAUAUGCUGUUGAUGGUGUCUCAUAAAAAUAAACUAUUAAGGUGCCUUUAGCUGCAACUCUCGUACAAAGUGAUUUCUCAUUUCCAUAGUAUAAUCAGUUCUCUUGGAAUUUCAUGUGGCCUUCCUACCGGUUUUGAUGAGACGUUAUAUGCUGUCUUUGAAGUGAAUUUAAGCAUUUAGAUCUCUUUGUUCCUUCAGUUUUUUUUCUCAUGCAGUUAGAGACUUUAUCAGUCUGUUACAAGUCAGACGUGUCCAUGUGUAUUGAGCCAUGCGUUCAGGAAAACUUUUGUCCUUGACACUGUCAAGGACAGUGUUAAGUUAAAUACCUUCCGUGAUGUUUUUCCUAGGUUUUGUAUAUUUAUUGUAGACUUAGGAAGCCAAUAUGGAGCUCUGCAUACAUUGGAUGUGUAUAUUGGAUGUGUAACUGUCCUGAGUGCUGUUCACAGGAUGAUCUCCCCUUUCUCUUCAAGUGGGUCAUCUUUUCAUUUACCUCCUUGUCUGUCAUCACUGUUGCCUAGACUGUCCCUGUAUGGUGAUUCACAGCACCGACUCAUGGAAAUCUGAAAGAAUUAAUAUCUGUCUCUAAAAUGGACUUCAAAGAUUUAUACUUCCAAGCAGCUGGCCCCUGUCACAGAGAACUGCGGAUGGGGUUGGACGUGCUGGAGCACCAGACCCUGCCAUUUGAAAUUCCUUCUAGUCAUUCAGAACAAAUGAAGGGAGGAGAAGCAGCACUCCCUGGUCGUUGCUAACAAGACUCCUCUCAUCUAUGCUGUAUCAGAAGGUUUAUCAGUGAAUGCUACUACGAAGAGCUUGGUUUGUAAUUUCUCUUUCCCAUCCACAAGUGCAGUAGUAUAGCAACUUAAAAUUGCAUUUCAUCGGCAGAGCAGUGUGUGUGAGUAGUUGCUGUGUUAGAAUGCCCUGUUUUUUCCAUCACCCACUUUUUUGUUUUUCUGCCUCCAAAGUAAGCAGUGCAGAUAUGGGGAAAGGUGGGGGAAGCAGAUUGACUUACAGCUGCACAAUUAAUAUAUUCAGUAAGCAUUUUAAAGAGGCUUGCUCUCUCGGAUUUGUUUCUAUAUCAGAAGUGUUUUAAGUGUCCUUUCAGUCAGCAGAGAAUGGAUCUGAGCAAAGUAGGGAAAGGACCGUGUUAGCUGUUCCCCAACACUCACUGCUGAGCACUGGAGUACAGCUUAGCAGGAAGUCUUAGUUUUGUCCUCAGACUGCCAGUAUUGCUUUUUUCCUCAAUAACAGUGAAUGAGGAAAGGAUUAGAGAAGCUGACUGUGCUGAGGCAGUCUAAGAAUGUAUUCCAGAAUGAAAGUUACUAGCUUAGCUCUUCAGCCCAGAAAGGAUUCAAAAUUCUUCAUGACAGGCAGUGCGUUUACCCCUAUCUCUGCAUGAGGAAUGAAAUUGAAUAGUGCUUUGCAGCCUGGUGAAUCCCUGAUGUCUCAGGAGGUGCACCUAGUAGAUCUCUGUCAUCUCUUCUUCUGCCUGAAUAAAAUCAUCCCUGUUUGCCAUGAUCACUGUAGCUUGCAACAAACUAAAUAAUCUUUAGAAUCCAAGUUAAGACAGCAGGAGUGAAAUUCAUCAGAUCAAUGCAGAAAAAAGACCAUAAGCAUGAGCUUAUCCCUAUGGUGCUGUGUGCACUGCCUUUCUCUUACAAGAUGCAUAGCAGUCAUCCAAGUUUCAUAGAAAAUCAGGAUAAUGUACAAAAUAAGUAAGGGGUGAAAAAGGAAAACUAAUCAGAGCAGACAAUUUUUUAUGCGAAAGAAUUGAGUAUAUCUGUGAGGGUACUUGCAAUGAAACAUUCUCAGUUCUGAUCUGGGCAGCAUACACUGCGUGCACUCUUCACUGCAACACCCAAUAAGAACAUGGUUUCCUUUUGAUUUCUUUCUACAACUGGACUGCAAGUUCCUAUACCCUUUUGGCUGUCACCCCUAUAUCUACAUGUCAGAAGUUUUCUUGGUAGCUGACUGAUUUCUUUAUCUCUGCAGUGAGCAACAGAAGUACUUUGAAGACCUUUAUGUCAGGACUGAGAAUACAUUGUUCUCUGUGAACUUAUGCUCAGCUGGGCAGUGGAUCUCUUACCUAUUGCCAUGAACAGCACCAAACUGGGAAUGCAGAGCACCUUAGUACCCUGACUACUUUUCAAGAUGACUGGGAAAUGCCAUUUUUCUGGCAAGGAUCCUGAAAGAUUCUUUUCAAGGGAAACUGAUUGAACGGGUUGGCUUCUGAAGAUUGGGCUUGACGUCUGGGAGAGUAGAAAGAAAUAAUUCAGCUGGAAGAGACCCACAGAUGUCACUGAGUUCAGCUGUCUGACCAUUUCAGGGCUAACCAAAAGUUUAAGUAUGUUUUUAAGGACAUUAUUCACAUUUUUCUUGACAGGAGCAGGGCAUCAACUACCUCUCUAGGAAGCCUCCUCCCGUGCUUGACUGCUCUCAUGAGAAAGAAACUGCUCCUAAUCUACAGUCUGAGGGGGGAGUAACUCUGGAGACUUCUCUUUCAAUCAUUCCUCUUCUGGAAUACCUGCUAGUGGAAUUUAAAAAAAAAUAAUAAAACCUGAGAAUUUAUAUUGUUA